RNAcentral lists this ribosomal RNA (118 nucleotides) under Pteropus alecto (black flying fox). The record is from RNAcentral. Lineage: Eukaryota; Metazoa; Chordata; Mammalia; Chiroptera; Pteropodidae.
GUCUAUAGCCAUGCCACCCUGAACGCGCCAAACUCAUCUAUUCUUGGAAGCUAAGCAGGGUCGGGCCUGGUUAGUACUUGGAUGGGAGACCAGCUAGGAAUACUGGGUGCUGUAGGCG